AUGUUCUGAUUUGCCUUUGGAUUGUAAAAGUCUUUCACUUUUUACUAAAGAUUUCCAUGGAGAGGAAUGCUCAAGAGUUUUAACUUAUUUUUACGGCCCUGCAUUUGUAGGGC
Small nuclear RNA from Stegostoma tigrinum, 113 nucleotides. RefSeq annotates it as U5 spliceosomal RNA. Lineage: Eukaryota; Metazoa; Chordata; Chondrichthyes; Orectolobiformes; Stegostomatidae. The record is from RefSeq and is a predicted model, not a curated record. The transcript has a single exon.